This 1393-nucleotide long non-coding RNA is filed under the name Capra hircus (goat). Its description in RNAcentral is "lncRNA (ENSCHIG00010006964.1)". The record is from RNAcentral. Lineage: Eukaryota; Metazoa; Chordata; Mammalia; Artiodactyla; Bovidae.
CUGUAUUGCACAUCUGUUGCAUAGCAACAAAAUAAAGUUUGUCUGUUUAGGAAAAUCUGAAGGCGUCUUAUAACAUAAAGAUAAAGAAUGCUUUCUGAACUCUUAUUUGCUUCAAUGUGUGCUUUGUCACAUGCCAAUUAUAGAAGAACAUCAGGAUGAGAGUUUAUUUUAGGUGAUACAAAUGUUAACANNNNNNAUACAGGGUAUUAUUUUUAUGUUUAUGUGAUGGGAAAUCUUAUCUAUUUAAAAAAAAAUGCAAUUUCCUGUCCUUAUCCAAUGCUUACUUGAGUAGUCAGUAUCUUGUUUCUUCCCUAAGAAUUUUUUGGGGGAGUUUAUUUUUAGCCAGUUAUUUGUUUCUAUUUCUAUUGCUAUUUUUCUGAAUAUCAUUUCAGAUAAUGCCCAUAGGUUCAACUGAAAAUUUUCCAGGAUCUUCUGAAAACCAAGAACUGUGUUACCCUGAAUGAUGCCAAUACAAUGGGUGAAAUUCAAGUGUGCACUAUAUUUAUUUGUUCAUUUGUUCAGCCUCAUUGGGAAAAAGAUCCUGGCUCAGUUUCCUACUUGUGUUCUCUGGUUAGAUCAUCUACCUUUCAAGUUGAUUCAUUUUUUAUUAUAGUCAAAAUCCUAAGUCUAACAGUGUGGGGAUCUUCUUAUUGAUGGAGUAGUUUAUAGCAAUAUGCUUCACAUUAUGUAUUAGAGUUUUAUUACUAACCUCACUAGUUGAAAGUCAAAACCAACCCACCCCAAAGUUUUAUUUAACGUUAGGAUGCUCAGAAUCUCAGCUGUGAAAUGAAGACACAGCAUGGUGAUAUAUGUGAGAAUGUAUUGUGAAUUAUAAAUUGAACAUCAAANNNNNAUUUGUAAUAAUUCUUUUUUAUAUUACUUACUUUAAAAUUUGACUUUUUGUGAAAAAUCAUUAAGGAUUUCAAGCAAUUCAACAAAGUAAAAUCAAAACCACAUAUUUUAUCACAUAAAUAUAAUUGUUAUUUAUAUUAGGUGAAUACUCUUUCAGACACUGCUAUAUACAUAUAAUAAAUAGCAUCUGGAUACAUAGAUAAAAAUGGCUUUGCUAGAAUGGAACUACACAGUAAAUGUUACAUUUAAGUAAAAUAUUCAAUUUAGUUUUACUUGAAUUUAGUGGGAGGGAAAGUGAAAUUGCAGGAAUUCUUAAAAUUAAGGUAAAUAGUUCUUCCAAAAAGAAAUAUAGCAUGUAAGUACCUGCUUAUGACAUUUUGAAAAUUAUUUAAAACUUAAGAAGUUUGAGUGAAUUGUUAUUUCUGGCAUAUACAUUUUAUAUGAUAUCAGUUAACUAAUCACUAUAAAAAAUGAAGAAAUUAGCCUCUUACAUCUACUCUCUUUUCUAUUUUUCUCCCCUUCUCUUUAAAUAUUAUUAAUG